UCCGUAGGUGAACCUGCGGAAGGAUCAUUAUCGAGUUUUGAACGGGUUGUAGCUGGCCUUUCACGAGGCAUGUGCACGCCUGGCUCAUCCACUCUUAACCUCUGUGCACUUUAUGUAAGAGAAAAAAAUGGUGGAAGCUUCCAGGAUCUCGCGAGAGGUCUUCGGUUGAACAAGCCGUUUUUCUUUCUUAUGUUUUACUACAAACGCUUCAGUUAUAGAAUGUCAACUGUGUAUAACACAUUUAUAUACAACUUUCAGCAACGGAUCUCUUGGCUCUCGCAUCGAUGAAGAACGCAGCGAAAUGCGAUAAGUAAUGUGAAUUGCAGAAUUCAGUGAAUCAUCGAAUCUUUGAACGCACCUUGCACUCCUUGGUAUUCCGAGGAGUAUGCCUGUUUGAGUCUCAUGGUAUUCUCAACCCCUAAAUUUUUGUAAUGAAGGUUUAGCGGGCUUGGACUUGGAGGUUGUGUCGGCCCUUGUUGGUCGACUCCUCUGAAAUGCAUUAGCGUGAAUCUUACGGAUCGCCUUCAGUGUGAUAAUUAUCUGCGCUGUGGUGUUGAAGUAUUUAUGGUGUUCAUGCUUCGAACCGUCUCCUUGCCGAGACAAUCAUUUGACAAUCUGAGCUCAAAUCAGGUAGGACUACCCGCUGAACUUAAGCAUAUCAAUAAGCGGAGGA
RNAcentral lists this ribosomal RNA (673 nucleotides) under Ganoderma mirabile. RNAcentral describes it as "eukaryotic LSU rRNA". The stretch from base 250 to 403 matches the Rfam family "5.8S ribosomal RNA". The record is from RNAcentral. Lineage: Eukaryota; Fungi; Basidiomycota; Agaricomycetes; Polyporales; Polyporaceae.